This 5108-nucleotide long non-coding RNA is filed under the name Nicotiana benthamiana. RNAcentral describes it as "long non-coding RNA (NBEN_LNC003304)". The record is from RNAcentral. Lineage: Eukaryota; Viridiplantae; Streptophyta; Magnoliopsida; Solanales; Solanaceae.
UCACUGCAUCAAUCAUUUGAAUCAACUGACGAGCAACUACAAUAUGGGCAACCACCAAUCUCUUUUGGCAGUAACAAAGCAUUAAUUCAAGAAAACAUGAGGAAGAUUGUCAUUAACUCAAAAUUCUGGAAAGACCAACGAGAGUAUGAUGACGAUGAGGGAUGGGGAGUCGGUUUUGCUGGUUUUUCAACUGAAGAAGACGAUCAAGAAACUGAUCGGGAUAGUGCAGGAGAGGACAUUGACGCUCCAAUCAAACAAAAAUUCAAUGGGAGACCUGCAUCAUCAAAACAGACCAAUCUGAAUUUGCGUACAUCUGCGGCAAAUACAGCAAGUCCAAUCAGCAAGUGGAACCAUAACGCUCCAGUUUUUCUGCUAACAAAUACUGUAAAAGCAGUUAGUUCAAAUACAGCAAUACCAAAGUUCGACUAUAUAGCAACAGGAAUUCACAUCCAACCAGACCAAAAUUCAGUAAACAAAAAUGCUUCUGCUCGACAAAAUACUGGACAGAAUCUUUUUGUCACAAAUGAACCAGCAAGUAUUUUAGAACAGAGGAAUCAUGUCGAUGGAACGAGCCAACCUUUGGAUUCAAGUCAUAGUUCUGAACAGCAGCAAGAGGAUGAACGACACUUCGUAACAAAUAACCCUCUAUUCUCUUCAGAAGAAAGACAUCUUUUGGAUGCGAAGAUAAAUACAGAUGCUCUAGCCCUUGAUAAUUCCAGUUCAAGCCGUGCAAACAUGAGUAGGAACAAAUCACUAAAACAAAUGCAAAACAAGGCAAUUUCGGCAAAUGUACAAGCUGAAACAACAUUGCUAACUCAAGGCGAUUUUCAAGAUAUGCCAAAUCCAAUUUUAACAAGUAGAUAUAUGUAUGAAGAAGGAGAGGAAGAGGAUAUCUUACAGAAAUGCUUGGCAGACGCUUCAAAAAAUGGUGAUUUAUCACCAUUGCAUAGUGGAAAAAGUAUCAACUCGAGUGCAAGGAAUGGAAGUUGGGACGAUAAGGUGAGAGAAGGCGAUUUAAUAAGGAGACCCCCAAUGAGAAACGCAAAACAAAAACAACUCAAUCAAACNNNNNNNNNNNNNNNNNNNNNNNNNNNNNNNNNNNNNNNNNNUGUGAGAGAAAUGCAAAACAAAAACAGCUCAAUCAAUCAAAGGCCAAUCGUUUGAUAAAAAAACCAUGAACUUUGAAGUAUUUUUGAAAAAUAUUGUGGAGGAAGAUAACAAUCUACAAAUGGAAGUAUUCACAAAUCUAGAAAAAAGAGAACACCAAGGUGGUUUCUUCAUUUCAUUAUUUUACCAUCACAUUAGUAUCAUAAAUUGUAAUAUCAUUACGGAGUACGUUAUAAACUCUGUGAUGAUUAACAAAUUCCUAGUUCUUCCCAGUUCUUUCUUUUUACAUGCUUGCUAAUAGGUGAGGCUUUUAUUUGCCUCAAUAGGAUUAUUAGGAUAAGGUUUACACUGGUUGUGUUAUAUGGGUAACAACACCGGUGCUAAUCCCUAUUUUAAUUUUCCAAAUUGUUGUUAUUUUCUUUUUGAAUAUUAAUAAAGUCGAGUCCUAGGCACUUGCCUAGUGGAUUGUCCAAAAAAAAUUACAUGGAAAAGGUUUGGGCCACCCAGGUCUGGCCCAAUUGUGGCCAACCUGGGUGGCUGUAUAUAAAGGUAUAUAUUUUGUUUUGGUUUCUUUCUUAUCUUUUUUAUUAUUUAACUCUUAAUUCUAGUUUAAAAUUCCUAAUUAACACAAACAAAAUGCAACAAAUUAAAAUAAAGAUGAUUAAAAUUGCAAAAAUACUAUUUGCAUAUAUAUAUUUUGGAAUUUUUUUUUAAAUAAACGUAAUUAUCAAUUAUUUCAGCAAAACCAAGAAUUAAAUCAUAAAUGAUUUUAAACAUACAUUAAUGCAAACACACAGGCAUACACAAUUAAAUUCAAAAUUUAAAUCCAAAAAUAAAUAUUAAAAGGAAAAUCCUAAACCUGAGAGUCCUAUAGGAGUCAUCUUAACAGGCAAAAGCACACGCUCACAAGUAGCUAAACAAUUGAUCUAUGGUUGAUGGAACCAAUUGUUGGUUGAAGUUUUGACUCAACUUGUUAUAAUCAAGCCAUAUUUAUUAUAUGAUUGUUCAACCACAUUUUGUGUGCUGAUUUGUUGAGUGGUCCAUUGAUUAAUCGUGUCUAUUUUCCUUAUAUUGCUUGAGUAAAAAUAUUAGGUUACAGUGUUGUUGAACAACACCACAUUUAGGUAAUCAAAGAGAUUCAUUACUUGAACUUAAAAGUGGGCUUAGAGAUAACGAAACAUUGGUAGGAUAAUUUAGCGCUGCAUAUAUUGUUAGCUAGAGCAGUUCGAGAGAAUGCUCUAGUACAUUACCAUAGUUGAUCGAGAGAUAAUUAUGAUAACCUAUAGCUCCUAAUCCUCAUAGAGUAUUAUGGAUAUAUUAUAGCAAAGAGUUAAGACCUAAACUAACAAUUGGGGAAAUACCCUAGACCUUUCUUACCAUUAAGAUAUCUCUGAUUUAGAAAAAAAGUUAUUUUUUAGUAUCAUUUGAAGUAGUUAAACGAAAAACACAAGUUUUAUUGAUAAAAAAUCUUGGAUCUACAAAUUGGUUGAACUGAUAAUAACAUCGCCAAGAGUUGUAAUAGAUAGCUUAGUUCCCUUAGGAUUUGACCCGUACCUAAAGCCGGAUUAUGUUUGCAACGACCUCUUUGUCUUUUAGAAGGCAUACUUGCGCGUAAUUAAGUAGAUAUACUGAAUUUUAAAUGUUUAGGAAAGGUUGGGCCAGCAGCAAGACCACUACACUACCUAAGGGAAUUUUGUUUUGUAAAAAAUGUGGUUGGUGUUGACUGGGCUCGAAAUUGAGCCCAUGAACGAGGAGAAGGGAACAAGAGAGCCUCGUUCAGCUUCGCUUAGGCUAAUACCAGGGUCAGCUGCUAAAAGACAAGCCUUUAAUGUUAAAACCUAUUUUAACAGAAAGAACUUAACAGAUAAAAAAAUUUGCUGAAGAUAUCAGGGCUCAAAAUUGAGCUCAACAGUGAAAGAAAUUAAGAGCGUGGUUACAUGGGGGCUUGGUUUUAACCAGGCUGCCUCAUAUAGGCUAGCACCGGGGCCAAUCAUUUUACCCAAGUAGCCUUUAAUAUCAUGGCCUUAAUUAGGCCAACAUGAUGUUAGUAUCAACAACAAUAAGUCGAUUCCUAAACUCAUUCAUGAAUUACCUUAGACCUCAAGAUGCCAUCAAUCUAAAAACAUUAAACUUUGAGGUUAAUAAGCUGAGAAUACUCAACAAUUCAAACAUAUCUCCUUCGGAGACAUACAGUAUACACUCCACUUGUUUCAACAAAGUCCAAAUAAAUUACUACAACUGCUAAGCAUCCCAAACUGUCAAACCAUACAUGAAACUACUAAACUAAUUCAAACCUUCAAAAACCUAAAUACUUUGACUAAAUUAUAGAGUAGAGAAUCAAUUUUAGCAUGCUUAAACAACAGCUUGAAAGAAACUACGAAACAAAAAGAGAAUAGAAGACAUCAAGCAAAGAAGAAGAUCUGAAGUUCUAUUCUAGGACAACAUGUUACAAAUUCAUUUUUGUCAUUUCAAGGCUCACAAAAAUAUCUGGAUACAAAAAAGAAUCAAAGUGAGAGAAUCUCUAAAAAAAAUAACAGAAAUCAGGUAGUAAUUUCAAUGGAAAUCAGCAGCAUACAACAGCACAACUCCAAUAGCUCCAAAGCUUAAACCAUAUUCUGUCUUAGCGGACUAGAAAUCCCAGGAAAUUUAUUGAAUUUCUAUUAUAAAAAACCUAGGAAAUUCAAUUGAGCUUCUAUUUUAAAAAAACCCAUAAAAUUUGAUCUACUCUAAUAAAACAGUAGAGCUGAACCUUUUGGAAUGUUUUAGGAUCUUUUUGAGUAUGAAUAUCUUAAUGGAGUAGUAACUUUUCUUUAUAUAGGGCAUUCAAAGAAUACUCUGACAAGAAAUAGCAUUCAAAGAAUAUUCUGACCUAAAUUCUUUUAAUAGCACAACAUAUUGACAGAGAAUAAUGUAAAUUUGUCAAUUUUUUCAACAUCUUUUAAAAUAAAUUCUUGAUAGCUGGUACAUUUCUAGAACACUUCUCUAAAGUCUGGGCCAUUGUUAUGGACAAAUAGCCUAAGACAAACCCAAGUCAUGGCCAGAUGGCCCAAGACACGCCCAAGAACAAAACAAACAAAAACAACCGCUAAAGAUUACUCCAGCAAAUCAUUUAACUCUUAUGAAAUUAAUUAGCAACUUAAUCAACUAAUAACUAAAUUCAAUCAACCUAGGAGAUACGAAAAAGAGUUGAUAAUUAGUAAUUAACUCGACUAAGCUGAAACUUACGCGAUUGACCAAACAGAAACACUGACAUUAAACUAUCUAAAAACUAAUUCAAACAAGUGAAUACUGAGAACUAAUUUUAAAAAAAAUAAAUCAUAAAACUAGUUUACAACUAAUAAUCCAAACUAAUUCAAACAAGUAAAAUAUUUGAAUUAAUUUAAACAAGUAUACAAUUAAACUAAUUUAAACAAUUAAAUACCUAAACCAAAUUCAAACAAGAAGAUAGUCAAAAAUUAAUUCAAACAACUAAAAGAUAUAAAAAAAAUUAGAAAAUAGAAACAAAAACGGAAACAAAAGAAAAGAUAGAAGAAGGGUACUGGUUCUUAACCGGAAUGAACUAAUGACUGAAGCGACCUAGCGAACAAGGGAGGCGACGACCUUGGCCAGACACCUAUGAUUUGGUCAGGAAGCAGCGACCCUCUAAACAAGCCAAGACUAGUGUUUGGUCAAUUGUUUUUAGCACGAGCAAUUUCUUAUCACAAGUCUCAAGUCAGAUCGAUCCUUGGAAGCAAGAAAUCAUAAUUAGGGCGGAUUAGGGUUUUCUGUAAAAUUUUAGAUCCGAAUUUUUGAGAGUUUGUAGGGUUAUUUUGAGGAAUCAACAUGGGAUUUAGGUUUAGGGGAAUGUGGAGGUUAUAGGGUGAAGAUUUUGAGGUGUUUGGAGACCGGCUGCCGCCAUAAAAUGAUUUUAGGUGGGCGGCGGCUAGGGUUUAUGCCAUGUGAAAUGGGGUGCAUUUUAGGGUGGCUAGGGUUAGGCUUUAGAUCAAAGACGGGGAAAUGGN